GCGUUCAUGGUCUAACGGUUAGGAUUGCUGCCUUCCAUUACCUCUGUGAGCAGCAGGUUCGGGUUCGACUCCCGAUGGACGCA
RNAcentral lists this transfer RNA (83 nucleotides) under Acidomyces richmondensis BFW. It matches the Rfam family "tRNA". From Rfam's summary of the family: Transfer RNA (tRNA) molecules are approximately 80 nucleotides in length. Their secondary structure includes four short double-helical elements and three loops (D, anti-codon, and T loops). Lineage: Eukaryota; Fungi; Ascomycota; Dothideomycetes; Mycosphaerellales; Teratosphaeriaceae. The record is from Rfam by way of RNAcentral.